AGAAUCUUCCGCAAUGGACGAAAGUCUGACGGAGCGACGCCGCGUGGUGGAUGAAGCCCUUAGGGGCGUAGACACCUUUUAUGAGGGAGGAAUUUUAUUGACGUUCCCUCAUGAAUAAGGCGCUCCCAACUCUGUGCCAGCAGGAGCGGUAAUACAGAGGCCCCAAGCAUUAUCCGGAUUUACUGGGCGUAAAGGGUGCGUAGGCGGUUAUAUUAGUCAGAUGUUAAAUCCUGGGGAUCAACCUCAGGCUCGCAUUUGAAACGGUAUAACUAGAAGGAGUAAGAGGCAAGCAGAACUCACGGUGUAGGGGUGAAAUCCGUUGAUAUCGUGGGGAAUACCAAAUGCGAAGGCAGCUUGCUGGUGCUUUCUUGACGCUGAGGCACGAAAGCGUGGGUAGCG
Molecule: ribosomal RNA, 399 nt
Filed under: uncultured bacterium
Lineage: Bacteria
Description: bacterial SSU rRNA
Rfam family: Bacterial small subunit ribosomal RNA
Source: RNAcentral